CAAAACUCGAUCGUAGCAAAAUAGUUCAUACAAGGAUAGGUACAUGUAGUUGAUACAUGCAUAGGUGAUCAGGAAAAGGUACAUCUAGUUGGUACAUGCAUAGGUGAUCUACAACACGUAGUGAUAGUGGAUACUGAAUGCAGAAUUGUGAAGCUCUUGUUCUCUUCCUAGACCUGAGAUGUUGAUCCUCCAGCUGGGUGUGUCUCUACAAUGUAGUGGUAGAUAGAUGAAGCUGGUUCUUUUGCUCUUAUUCAGGUGGUUUGUUUGAUGCCUAGACAAUGUUGAAGUUGCUACUGGAUGCACGUCCUGGCUCUCGACGGUUUGGCAAAUUAUCUUGAAAUGGGAGAUAAAUUUUUUGAGGAUCCUUGAUCGUAUCACAUCCAUUUAUCUAACAAAUAAUUAAGGACAGAGGAAGUAUAAAAUUUUCUCAAAUGGUUGCCACAUCCUAGAAGCAAGUUGCACCAGAAAAUGCAUAUGCAUCAGUAUUCCAUACCGAUUAGUUCCCCUCCAGAAUGCUCUAGAUUAUCUCUAUGUAAUAAAUAUUGCAAAGAAAAAUCAAAGUACCACAAUGUACUCCCUCUGUAAAGUAAUAGUACUCUGCUUUCCAAAUCACUAAGUAGUGAUCGGUUCCGCUCCACUAUUGUGUUGUUGACUAACUCCUGAACAUUGUCUUGAGCGCAUCAUGAUUGUGGUCGUUGAUGACUAUACCGUGAUAUGUGCAAACUUGAUGAAGAGUAGCUUGAGCAACCUUUUUCUUCUGAAAGCUAUUGAUCACAAAAUUUGUAAUGCCAAUUUAACUUCAGAAAGAACAUGGCAACAUGGAACCUUCUCUGAAAAGCAGAAGUUGACGUGCUUGAUUACUAAGAGAGAACCCAUAGAUCUCAUGCCAACAGCAAUAAGCAUUUAAGCUACUUAUAACUUGAUUUUCCAUGAGAAAAUAACAUAUGUUUAAUCAUAUUUAAAAUAUUCAGUCAUGAAAGCAUAGAAGCAUCAGAAUUUUCCACUGAAGACACCAUGUCAGUGCACCAAAAAAUAGGUCAAGGGAAGUGAAAGGAAAAAGGAUCAAGUAAAUAAACUUGGAAGGAGAUCUACAGGAAGUAAUUAUUCUCUUGUACGUAUCAAGUUAUUUUUAAGAAAGGAUAAGAAGGGCAUAUAUAGGGGAUAUGUAUUUUGUUUUCUAGAAUACGGAGUAUGCAUAUCAUUCAUUAAAGAAGAAGAGGGGGGAAAAGAACCCCAGCGAACAACUCUUCCAUGUUUUACAACUAACAUAAUUAGAGUUGAAUUAACUGAACCGAUACAAAUAGGGGAGUAUGUACAGCAAAAUUGCACACUUCCACGUUUUACUGAUACAGCCAAUAGAGCUAAAUUAACUGAACUGAAUCUGUUCCUUGUAUGAGCAAAAAUACUAAGCUUUUAACUGUAUGACACAGCCAGUCAAAUGAUGCAUAUAACUGUUGCAUGCUAUGUGGGAGCGGGAAAAAACACUUCUUGAAGGUAAUUUAAGCAUCCAACAAUUGGUGGAAAAACUGAAUUACUACAGUCAGAAUCCAUAUAUCAAAACAAAGUAAAAGAAAAUGAAAUAGAAAACGCUCCACACAAAAUAUAGAUAUGUACGAACUGCUAGGAUAGAAAUAAAUUAAGGAAUCCCUUGGAGAGGGAAUUAUUUACACAUGAAAGAAGUGAGCUAUCAUACCGGAAAUUCGGAUGCAUGACUAAACAUCCGGAAUAAAAAUAAGGUAAGCUGCUAGAUCUUGCCUGUUGGUAAAUGCCUGGCCAUAUUUUUCUUACAAAAAGCUUUUAAAAUUUAGAUUAGAUAGAACAAAUAAAGCAUUGUUUACCCUUCGCAUAACUUACCCUUUGCACAAAUACUCCAGCAAAGCUUCAUGUUAAUGCAUAUAUUUUUGUAAGUUAAUCAAAUAUGGACCACGAUCUCCUAGAGAACCAAAGACCAAUUACGUGGUAGAGUAAUGUCUAAACAGAGGAAGCAUGAUGUUAGUUGUCCAUGUGCCUGAUAGGACUUGCACCUUUUUUUUGAAAAAAAAAAAUCAACUUACACCUGCACGCCAAGAGUUCAUGCUUACACAAAAUAAUCAGAAGAGUUCAGGUUCAUUAAAACUUCAAUAUAGAAUAACAUAUCGUCGAGGUGUUAUACACACGUGUUGAAUGCAAGGAAUAAUACGCCACUAACUGGACCAUAUUCAGGCUCCGUUCGGUUCAUAGGAUUUUUGCAGGAAUCAUGAAGGAAUACUGUUCAUGAAGGUUUAUUUUCCUUUGUGGUGUUCGAAACGCAGGAAUGACCUACAGUGAUCCAAAGGAAACCUGUCCUUUCGAUGCCGAUUCCAUAGGAAUUGAAAAAUCUGCCCGGAGCUCAUGUUUUUCGCGGAAGACCGAGACGAGGUGCUCUGAUCAUGGCAGUCAGCAUGCAGAGCUAAUUAAAAUGAGCUGAUGUGUGACGUGAUGGGGUGAGAGAUAGAGACAAAGCUGCCUUGUGGCCAAUUUAAAAACCCUUAAGGCUGCUGUGAUCCGAACAGUCUACUUUCUCUUAUUCCUGUGUUCCUAGACCCUGUAGGUUCUAUGGUAGCCUUCAGUCCUAUUCCUUUGAAGUAUUUUUAACCUUCGUUUUCUCUCCCUGCAUAACGAACGCAGCCUCAAUGUUAAAUACUUCGCAGAAUCUAUAUUGAUGGAUUAGUGUUGCUACUUCUCACUGAAAGUAUUGCUGAGGGAAAAAGUACAGCUCAAAGCCUGAUCUGGACUAUAUCAUCACACAUAGGAACGUUGAGGAGAAGAUCUUAUGGAAGCAAUCAAUUAAACAGUUCAAGUAUGUGAAACUUGACACCAAUGUCCCUAGGUCAUGAGAUAAGGCACAGUAUAAUACCAUAAGGAAGUAGAAGUAACAUGAUAAUUUGUAAUUCUAUGAAAUAAACAUUCCAGUAAAAAACUACAAUUACGGAUUGCUAAAUUUGCAUGUGAUAUUUCUCCACAUUAAAGUAAUACCAUGGACAAUCUUACAAUCUCCCCUACUUUGUUUCUACAUUUAUCUUUGAAGGGCAGCCCAUAUGAAUCUGAGAAAAGAUAUACCUUUUAUGACUGCUAAACAUCGUCACCAUAAUAUUUCAAUAGUAAUAAGUGCUCUUUCGUAUGACCGGUCUUUCUAAGGCAUUCUCUUUUCGUACAUCACGAACUCAUCAAUCUGAAACAAAAGACAAAUAGACAAUAGUCAAGUGAUAUUAAUUUGCAAAUAAGAAAGAGAUCAUCCAAUUACAUAAAAAAAUCAUAAAAGAUAUUCAAGUACACGCCAUAAGCAUAUUGGCAUCAUAAUUGCUAAAACCAGGAACAAAGUGAACACUUGUAAAAAGGCAUUCAUGCACUGAACUAAUUGCUCCAGCCACGUCCACAAAAUAGUGCAUCCAUGGAACAGAAAACGUGUAAAUAUUUCAUCCCUAGUGUUGAGCUAAUGCCAUGUUAGUUGCAUACUGAAAAAAGCACAUAUCUUUUUUAUGUUGGCUUAGUUUGGUCAAUUCAGUCGACCUGAACACCGAUACCGGAAAAGGUGAAUGCUACAGCUGGACCGGGGCGGAUAUACUACAGGCAGACACGCGAAUGCAUCAGCUAGCACACACAUGACACAGCUGCAGCAGGAGCACAGAAGCCGCACAUGCACGCGACAUAUCACAUGGCCAAGAGAGUGCGAGGGGCAGCCGGCGUGCACUCACCGCAAAGGGGAGCAACAGCGAGAUUGGGCACCUCCUCAUGUUGGCCUCCGUGGCGGAGUGUUGGCCAUCACCUGGCUCGAGCCCCUCCUCUACGCGGAGCUCGAUCAGAAGGGAGCAAGAGGAGUGGAGAAAAAAAAAGGAAUCUGCUCCAUGAAUGCCUGCUCUGUUCGCUGCUCUCGUGGAGGCGUGCACUUGCGAUUGGGAGAGGUGACAAGGAAGGCAAGGAGAAGAACAAAAAGAAGGCGGCCGGCCCGGACGGCAACCACCACUUAGAUUCAGGCCACCGCCGGCCAUAAACCGCAAGAAAAAAAGGACACCCAGCUGCUCACCUGACGCCGGAAAAGAUCGAGCCUUCUUCAAGAUGGAGACGGUAUGGUCCAGGCAGGGAUCGACGGGGAGGAAGUAGCCAGAUAAAUCGUCGGCAGGGCGCUGCCCUCCUCCCCGUAGCCUGCUGGCGCCGCUUUUUUUCCGCAACCCUGGAGACCCGUAGAGGAGAGGUGGUUCGAGAAGCGAGGGUUUCAUUUGAUCGGG
Molecule: long non-coding RNA, 4244 nt
Filed under: Triticum aestivum (bread wheat)
Lineage: Eukaryota; Viridiplantae; Streptophyta; Magnoliopsida; Poales; Poaceae
Description: long non-coding RNA (TAES_LNC001782)
Source: RNAcentral